UAGGGAAUCUUCGGCAAUGGGGGGAACCCUGACCGAGCAACGCCGCGUGAGUGAAGAAGGUUUUCGGAUCGUAAAGCUCUGUUGUUAAGGAAGAACGAGUGUGAGAAUGGAAAGUUCAUACUGUGACGGUACUUAACCAGAAAGGGACGGCUAACUACGUGCCAGCAGCCGCGGUAAUACGUAGGUCCCGAGCGUUGUCCGGAUUUAUUGGGCGUAAAGCGAGCGCAGGCGGUUAGAAAAGUCUGAAGUGAAAGGCAGUGGCUCAACCAUUGUAGGCUUUGGAAACUGUUUAACUUGAGUGCAGAAGGGGAGAGUGGAAUUCCAUGUGUAACGGUGAAAUGCGUAGAUAUAUGGAGGAACACCGGUGGCGAAAGCGGCUCUCUGGUCUGUAACUGACGCUGAGGCUCGAAAGCGUGGGGAGCGAACAGGAUUAGAUACCCUGGUAGUCCACGCCGUAAACGAUGAGUGCUAGGUGUUAGGUCCUUUCCGGGACUUAGUGCCGCAGCUAACGCAUUAAGCACUCCGCCUGGGGAGUACGACCGCAAGGUUG
Molecule: ribosomal RNA, 550 nt
Filed under: uncultured bacterium
Lineage: Bacteria
Description: bacterial SSU rRNA
Rfam family: Bacterial small subunit ribosomal RNA
Source: RNAcentral